This 445-nucleotide ribosomal RNA is filed under the name uncultured bacterium. Its description in RNAcentral is "SSU rRNA". It matches the Rfam family "Bacterial small subunit ribosomal RNA", at positions 26 to 518 of the family's 1533-position model. The record is from RNAcentral.
AGAGCGAACGCUGGCGGCAGGCCUAAUACAUGCAAGUCGAACGAACCCUUCGGGGUUAGUGGCGGACGGGUGAGUAACACGUGGGAACGUGCCCUUUGGUUCGGAACAACUCAGGGAAACUUGAGCUAAUACCGGAUAAGCCCUUCGGGGGAAAGAUUUAUCGCCAUUGGAGCGGCCCGCGUCUGAUUAGCUAGUUGGUGAGGUAAAGGCUCACCAAGGCUUCGAUCAGUAGCUGGUCUGAGAGGAUGAUCAGCCACACUGGGACUGAGACACGGCCCAGACUCCUACGGGAGGCAGCAGUAGGGAAUCUUGCGCAAUGGGCGAAAGCCUGACGCAGCCAUGCCGCGUGAAUGAUGAAGGUCUUAGGAUUGUAAAAUUCUUUCAGCGGGACGAUAAUGACGGUACCGCAGAAGAACGCCCCGGCUAACUUCGUGCCAGCAGCCGC